CUGUAUAUUUUUUAAGCCCCCAGAAGGAGAAACAGAGAAGAUGGCAGAUGAGCGACUAAGGGAGAAAGAGACCCCCACCCGCCCAGCAGGAGGGAAAGGUAAGGGGGUUUGGACACACUCUCUGCAAGCUGCAUCCCCAAGUUGUCGACCUUGCGAUUAGCGCCUUGUGGAAGGUGGGAGCACUGGGACCUCCUCGUACACAGGAUUCGUGUCGUAGGUCCUGCAGUGGUCACACAUGGGUGACUGCUAGGGGGGAACUCGCCCUCAUUUAGUAAACCGGAGGCAUGUCACGUCCCCCUUGUUUUUAAAGGACACCAGGCUUGAGAGUGCAAUGGGCAGCUACAUUCUUUUCUAUUUUUAGGGGGUUGUGCAAUUCAUUGCCAGCCAACUCCACUUCUGUUUUGUGUAUUGUUGCAGGUCCCUGAAGGGCUGCUGGAGAACGAAUGGAAGCAGGAAAAGAAAGCUUGGGAACAGCAAGCGUGGGUUGGGGUGGGCAGGAGGGAGCGAAAUGUUUAAUGUCUGCUUAGAUAGGUACAGAUGGAGACUGUUGUGUGCUUCUCUACACUUUCAAACACUCAUUAGGAGCAUGCAGCCACACGCUUCAAGUUGCACCGUGCAUUCGGUCUUGGGUUGGCCCGAGUUGUGUUUGAUGAGGUUGAGGCUUUGUGCUAGUUGUGUGUAUUGAUAUGCAGCAGUCAAGGGUUUUGCAGGUUGUUCGGCUCUGCUAGUUAAGCAGUUGAUCAAAAUAGAUGUGUGAUUGAAGGCAGCGUGUAGGUUUUUGUUGGUUGGGCUGUGG
Molecule: long non-coding RNA, 796 nt
Organism: Gavialis gangeticus (Gharial)
Lineage: Eukaryota; Metazoa; Chordata; Crocodylia; Gavialidae
Exons: 3
Source: RefSeq, a predicted model, not a curated record